RNAcentral lists this long non-coding RNA (253 nucleotides) under Elaeis guineensis (African oil palm). RNAcentral describes it as "long non-coding RNA (EGUI_LNC080844)". The record is from RNAcentral. Lineage: Eukaryota; Viridiplantae; Streptophyta; Magnoliopsida; Arecales; Arecaceae.
CAUAACCAGCUCAUUUUAGAGACCUAAUAAUUUAGAGGGUUUAAUCAAUUUAGAGAAGAGAGAAGAGAAGAAACGAUCAAUUAGUAGUCCAUAAUCUUCCUACUGACUUCACCAGGUCACUGAAUCAGGUUAGGUCAUACUGAUUGAACUGGCACCUAGAUCAGUCACACUAAUUAAUCUUAAUUGUAUAAUUUAACUCAAAUCACUUAGCGAUCUAAUCAAAAUUUAGUUCACCAAAUUGGCCAGGUAAGUG